RNAcentral lists this ribosomal RNA (448 nucleotides) under uncultured bacterium. RNAcentral's name for it is "partial 16S ribosomal RNA". It matches the Rfam family "Bacterial small subunit ribosomal RNA", at positions 29 to 523 of the family's 1533-position model. The record is from RNAcentral.
AACGAACGCUGGCGGCAUGCCUAACACAUGCAAGUCGAAUGAUGCUUUCGGGCAUAGUGGCGCACGGGUGCGUAACGCGUGGGAAUCUGCCUUGGGGUACGGAAUAACUCAGAGAAAUUUGAGCUAAUACCGUAUGAUGUCUUCGGACCAAAGAUUUAUCGCCCUGAGAUGCGCCCGCGUAGGAUUAGCUAGUUGGUGGGGUAAAGGACUACCAAGGCGACGAGCCUUAGCUGGUCUGAGAGGAUGCUCAGCCACACUGGACUGAGACACGGCCCAGACUCCUACGGGAGGCAGCAGUGGGGAAUAUUGGACAAUGGGCGCAAGCCUGAUCCAGCAAUGCCGCGUGAGUGAUGGAGGCCUUAGGGUUGUAAAGCUCUUUUACCCGGGAAGAUAAUGACUGUACCGGGAGAAUAAGCCCCGGCUAACUCCGUGCCAGCCGCCGCCGUAA